RNAcentral lists this ribosomal RNA (497 nucleotides) under uncultured bacterium. Its description in RNAcentral is "partial 16S ribosomal RNA". It matches the Rfam family "Bacterial small subunit ribosomal RNA", at positions 28 to 507 of the family's 1533-position model. The record is from RNAcentral.
GAUGAACGCUGGCGGCGUGCCUAAUACAUGCAAGUCGAGCGAACAGACGAGGAGCUUGCUCCUCUGACGUUAGCGGCGGACGGGUGAGUAACACGUGGAUAACCUACCUAUAAGACUGGGAUAACUCCGGGAAACCGGAGCUAAUACCGGAUAAUAUAUUGAACCGCAUGGUUCAAUAGUGAAAGACGGUUUUGCUGUCACUUAUAGAUGGAUCCGCGCCGCAUUAGCUAGUUGGUAAGGUAACGGCUUACCAAGGCAACGAUGCGUAGCCGACCUGAGAGUGUGAUCGGCCACACUGGAACUGAGACACGGUCCAGACUCCUACGGGAGGCAGCAGUAGGGAAUCUUCCGCAAUGGGCGAAAGCCUGACGGAGCAACGCCGCGUGAGUGAUGAAGGUCUUCGGAUCGUAAAACUCUGUUAUUAGGGAAGAACAAAUGUGUAAGUAACUAUGCACGUCUUGACGGUACCUAAUCAGAAAGCCACGGCUAACUACGUG